UGGCAUACGGCUCAGUAACACGUAGUCAACAUGCCCAGGGGACGUGGAUAACCUCGGGAAACUGAGGAUAAACCGCGAUAGGCCAUGAUUUCUGGAAUGGUUCAUGGCCGAAAUCUAUAUGGCCCCUGGAUUGGACUGCGGCCGAUCAGGCUGUUGGUGAGGUAAUGGCCCACCAAACCUGUAACCGGUACGGGCUCUGAGAGGAGGAGCCCGGAGAUGGGCACUGAGACAAGGGCCCAGGCCCUAUGGGGCGCAGCAGGCGCGAAAUCUCUGCAAUAGGCGAAAGCUUGACAGGGUUACUCUGAGUGGUUCCCGCUAAGGGUAUCUUUUGGCACCUCUAAAAAUGGUGCAGAAUAAGGGGUGGGCAAGUCUGGUGUCAGCCGCCGCGGUAAUACCAGCACCCCGAGUUGUCGGGACGAUUAUUGGGCCUAAAGCAUCCGUAGCCUGUUCUGCAAGUCCUCCGUUAAAUCCACCUGCUCAACGGAUGGGCUGCGGAGGAUACCGCAGAGCUAGGAGGCGGGAGAGGCAAACGGUACUCAGUGGGUAGGGGUAAAAUCCAUUGAUCUACUGAAGACCACCAGUGGCGAAGGCGGUUUGCCAGAACGCGCUCGACGGUGAGGGAUGAAAGCUGGGGGAGCAAACCGGA
This 646-nucleotide ribosomal RNA is filed under the name uncultured Nitrososphaerota archaeon. RNAcentral's name for it is "bacterial SSU rRNA". It matches the Rfam family "Archaeal small subunit ribosomal RNA", at positions 79 to 728 of the family's 1478-position model. The record is from RNAcentral. Lineage: Archaea; Thermoproteati; Nitrososphaerota.